RNAcentral lists this non-coding RNA (20 nucleotides) under Arabidopsis thaliana (thale cress). Lineage: Eukaryota; Viridiplantae; Streptophyta; Magnoliopsida; Brassicales; Brassicaceae. The record is from RNAcentral.
UGUGGAGGAAACAGAGCGAG